RNAcentral lists this transfer RNA (102 nucleotides) under Pseudomassariella vexata. Its description in RNAcentral is "tRNA-Ser". It matches the Rfam family "tRNA". Rfam says of the family: Transfer RNA (tRNA) molecules are approximately 80 nucleotides in length. Their secondary structure includes four short double-helical elements and three loops (D, anti-codon, and T loops). The record is from RNAcentral. Lineage: Eukaryota; Fungi; Ascomycota; Sordariomycetes; Amphisphaeriales; Pseudomassariaceae.
GUCGCGGUGCCAGAGUGGUUAAUGGGUAAGACUUGAAUAAAUCAAAGAUUAUUCAGCCAUCUUAUGGCUUCGGCCUCGCAAGUUCGAAUCUUGUCCGCGACG